Molecule: unclassified non-coding RNA, 288 nt
Filed under: Mycoleptodiscus sp.
Lineage: Eukaryota; Fungi; Ascomycota; Dothideomycetes; Muyocopronales; Muyocopronaceae
Description: partial contains 5.8S ribosomal RNA, internal transcribed spacer 2, and large subunit ribosomal RNA
Rfam family: 5.8S ribosomal RNA (bases 1-71)
Source: RNAcentral
GUGAAUCAUCGAAUCUUUGAACGCACAUUGCGCCUCUUGGUAUUCCUCGAGGCAUGCCUAUUCGAGCGUCGUUUCUACCCUCAAGCGCAAGCUUGGUGUUGGGGAACGCCCUGCUAACGCGGCGGCGGCCCUUAAAUCCAUCGGCGGUGCCGGUGCGGCCUGGAGCGCAGCAGCAAUGCAGUUUCCUGAGCCCGCCUGGAACCAGCCGGACAAAUGAAACUUUUCUCACGUCGACCUCGAAUUAGGUAGGGAUACCCGCUGAACUUAAGCAUAUCAAUAAGCGGAGGA